This 3865-nucleotide long non-coding RNA is filed under the name Ornithorhynchus anatinus (platypus). RNAcentral describes it as "lncRNA (ENSOANG00000045535.1)". The record is from RNAcentral. Lineage: Eukaryota; Metazoa; Chordata; Mammalia; Monotremata; Ornithorhynchidae.
CUGUAGAAUUUUUAUAUUGCUGAGAUCAUUAUCAAAAGAGGGACAUAUUGCUUCUAACGCAUGCAAUUCUGUGUUGUAGGAUAUCGUCAUUUAAAGCCAAUUAGACCGAGCCCAAGCCUUGUAAGUCAGAUGACCUUGACACAGAUGAUCAGAUAAGAACACAAGACCGCUACUUCUGGGUGACACCAGCAUUCUGUCCUUGAUCAUGGCAGCCAAAUGGGCCUUGGCAGCUGGUGGGGAAAGGGUCAGAAGGGUCAUUGGGUAGACCCCCUUACCUCGAGUGCUUGGUCGUCCCAUUUUGGGGUCACCCACCACCCCUGCAUUCACAGAGGACCGGUGGGCCUCCGAAAAGUCCUGGUGAUGUCUGUGGUUGGAGGGAACAGCAGCCAGCAGAAAGAAGUCGAUCAACCCAGCACGCUGAGAAGCUGCAUGGCUUCAUGGAAAGAGCCCGGGCCUGGGAGUCAGAGCCACUCCGAUCUAAUCUAGACUCCCCCUUUUGCCUGCUGUGUGACCUUGGGCAAGUUGCUUAACUUUUCUGGCCCUCAGUUUUCUCAUCUGGCAAAUGGGGAUGAAGUAAUAAUUAUGGUAUUUAAGUGCUUACUCUGUGCCAAGCGCUAUUCUGAGUGCUGGAGUAGAUGCGAGGUAAUCAGGUUGUCCCACACAGUCCCACAUGGUGGGGGGGGGGGGAUGUCACGGUCUUAAUCCCCAUUUUACAGAUGAGGUAACUGAGGCCCACAGAAGUGAAGUGACCUGCCCAAGGUCACACAGUAGACAGGUAGUGGAACCUGGAUUAGAACCCAUGACCUGACUCCCAGUCUCGUACUCUAUCCACUUCGCCAUGCUGUCUCCCUCCUACUCUGAGCCUCAUAUGGGUUAGGGAUUGUGUCUGACCUGAUUACCUAUUAUCUACUCCGGAGUUUAGUACAGUGCUGGGCACAAAGUGCGUGCCUAAGUGCUAUACAUAGCACAGAGGAAUGGAGGGACACAGCAGGAAGGGACAAUGUUGGUGCAGAAUUGGGCUGAAUGGCGCAAUCUCCCUCUUUACCAUGGUCAUGUUACAAUCCUCUCAAUUUUAAGCUACUUGAGGGCAGGAAUCUGCGCGUGGGUAGCGUGGCCUAAUGGGUAGAGCACGGGCCUAGGAGUCAGAGGGACCUUGGAUCUAAUCCCGGCUCUGCCGCUUGUCUACUGUGUGACCUUGGACAACUCGCUUAACUGCUCUGUGCCUCAGUUACUUCAUCUGUAAAGUGGGGAUUAAGACCGGGAGCCCCAAGUGGGACACGGACUGUGUCCAACCUGAUUACCUCGUAUCUAUCCCAGCUCUUAGAACAGUGCCCAGCACCUAGUACCUGCAUAACAAAUACCACUUUAAAAAAAAACUAAUUGUAUUGUACUCUCCCAAGCGCCUAGUACAGUGCUCUGCACACAGUUAACACUCAAUAAAUACCACUGAAUGAUCUUUAUUGUUGCCCCCGUGUUGCCUGUUGCUGCCCUUUCUGCUUCCAGUGUCAUUUUCAUCACAAGUUCCAAACUCUGUGUGUGCAGGCAGAGUCCGGCUGACUCUGAAAUCAUUGCCGGGAAAUCUUGGCAUGAACGCUGAAGGGGAAGGAGGGAAGAGCGAGGAGGAGGAUUGAAGGAACAGAAGCUUCUCUGCUUCUGACUGUCAUUUUGCUAACUGACACCUCAUGUGUCCUUGCUAACCCUAAAGCAGGAAGCAGCCUCUCGGGGGUAGAAGCCGCCCGGGGAGCCUGCCUGGUCCCCAGCCCUCUGGGAUCUUUCUUUUAUCCGGGUGCAUCAGCCUGGCACCGGUUUGCCUCAUGUGCCCGUGUUUUGGGUGGCCUUGUGGAUCUUCUGCCAUGGCUCUGCUUCUGUGUGCCUCUUUCUGCUUGCUUUUCUCUUUGCCGGCCUCUCUUACUUUCUCUCUGGCUCUAUUUUCUCUGCCGUAGUAAUAUCGAUAGUAGUCGUAGUUAUAGUAGUUAUAAUAAUAAUUAUUAUUAUUAUUAAUAAUAAAAUGGUAUUUGUUAAGUGUUUACUAGUUGCCAAGCGCUGUUCUCCGGACUGGGGUGGAUACAAAUUGGGUUGGACACAGUCCUUGUCCCACGUGGGACUCACAGUCUUCAUCCCCAUUUUACAGGUGAGGUAACUGAGGCACAGAGAAGUGAAGUGACUUGCCCAAGGUCACACAGCAGACAUGUGGCAGAUCCGGGAUUAGAACCCAUGACCCUCUGACUCCCAGGCCCGUGCUGCUCUAUCUACUAGGCCGUGCUGCUUCCCAUACUAUUAGUUGUAGUAAUAGUUAAUAAUAAUAAUAAUUCUGGUCUUUGAUAGACUCUUACUGUGUGCCAGACACAGUACUAAGGGCUGGGGUGGAGAUAAGCAAAUCGGGUUGGACACAGUCCCUGUCCCACAUGGGGCUCACAGCCUUAAUCCCCAUUUUACAGAUGAGGAAUCUGAGGCACAGGGAAGUGAAGUGCCUUGUCCAAGGUCACACAACAGGCCGAUGGCAGAAGCGGGAUUAGAACCCACUACCUCCUGACUCCCAGGGCCAUGCUCCACAGUAGUUAUAGUAGUUGUGGCUGUAGUGGUGGUAUUGUAUGCCGAGGGCAGUUACUAAGUUUUGGGAUAAAUACAAAAAUGUGAACUGAGUCACAGUUCCUCAAGGGGCUUACGAUAUUUCAGUGGCGACAGACAGACAAUUAUAAAAGAGAAAUCAAUUGUAGGGUCUCUCUGGUCCUAUACCCCGAGCCCAACCCAAUUCCAGUUUGAGUUUCUGGAGAUAUGGUGAUCUCACCAAUGCUAGUCCGAGGUCAUGGUGUCCAAGAUGCGGGCCUGACUGGAAAUAAGUCGGGACCAAACCAGAAAUGGGCCAGUGCAGGUCCCUCUGGGGGCUUCUGGGAAUUGUAACUCUAGCAGCCCAGGGGACCACUGUGCCUAUGCAGGAUUACUGCAGGGUCCAAUUGCCUCCCACCAACAAUAAAGCCGCCUUAGUGACAAAGAAAGGACAGAGCAAGGAAGGCCACGAGAUGGUCUAAACCCAGUCUGACCCAUCUGGGUCUGACUUGCCCCUGCCUGUCAGGCUUGGAACAUUGCAAAAAUGGGACGGUCUGUGCCUGUUGAGAUUACAGUCAAAUCUACGACUGACGUAAAUUCCCUCCCCGUUGUUACCCCUUGAUGUUUCCAUCCUGCUUCCAUUCAUUUGCCUUAUGCUUUCAGGGUCUAGACUGUUCAGCCUGCAAGAUACUUCAGAUUACUUUAUGCAGAAUCCUUUUUUGUUGACACAUAAACCAAAGCGUGUUAUUAGUGUGCAUGGCUAAUUGCGUAUAUGUUUUCCAAAGCCUUUACAAACAUGUCUGAAUGAUCAAAUGGGAGGCUCUAUCCAAGGCUAUAAUCAUUAAGUAAAAGCUUCCAGAACACUGUUAGAUCUGUCCCACCACUGUAAAUGAUUCAGAGAGGAAGCAAUUGGGAUGGAUCCACAUAAACAAAUGGCCAGUGCAGUCACCUCUACAUAGGAGGAUUCAAAACUUUGCACACAACAGACAGGAAAGCUUUGAUCCAAAGUAGAAAGAGUCCAAAUAUUUUCAUCAUUAUACCAUCUAUCAACCAUUCUUUAGAACUCCGAGCAAUUCUGUGUCUCUGGGACUUGCUGCUUUGUCUUCAUUUGGGAGACACUUAUUUAAGUCCUCCUGAAAAUGUGAUGCCAGAAAUAAACUAUCUUUGUUUGGGAUCCACUUCCAGGCUCUUUCCCCUCAGCUGCCCUCAGGGAGGCGUGAAGCAACUAUGGUGUAACCAGACAGCCCAAAAUAGGUGGGACAGUUGUGCAUUUCAGGGUUCCGCCCUGCUUCCCAAAAGACCCAAGGAAGAACCUUCU